GCCAGUGUGGCCUAAUGAUUAAGGCACCAGGCUAGAAAACAGGCGACAAUGAGUUCAAGUCUCACCUCAGCCA
Molecule: transfer RNA, 73 nt
Filed under: Ophiophagus hannah (king cobra)
Lineage: Eukaryota; Metazoa; Chordata; Lepidosauria; Squamata; Elapidae
Rfam family: tRNA
About the family: Transfer RNA (tRNA) molecules are approximately 80 nucleotides in length.
Source: Rfam by way of RNAcentral